RNAcentral lists this unclassified non-coding RNA (868 nucleotides) under uncultured Synechococcus sp. Its description in RNAcentral is "partial may contain 16S ribosomal RNA, 16S-23S ribosomal RNA intergenic spacer, and 23S ribosomal RNA". The stretch from base 347 to 419 matches the Rfam family "tRNA". Lineage: Bacteria; Bacillati; Cyanobacteriota; Cyanophyceae; Synechococcales; Synechococcaceae. The record is from RNAcentral.
GUCGAAGGUGGGGCUGAUGACUGGGGUGAAGUCGUAACAAGGUAUCCGUACCGGAAGGUGCGGAUGGAUCACCUCCUAACAGGGAGACAAAACAAUGAUUUUGAUGUCUGAGUAUUUCAUUCUUAGGCCGAAAUCCUGUCACCUUAGGUCGAUCGGUACCUCAACAUUUUUCCAAAGAUUGGUGAGCAAUCAUCAAGAGAUUGGAAGGGAUGUUCAGUUCCUAAACUUUGUCUAGGUCACACCCCGCAAGGGAAGAGUCCCCUGGGCCAUUAGCUCAGGUGGUUAGAGCGCACCCCUGAUAAGGGUGAGGUCCCUGGUUCAAGUCCAGGAUGGCCCAUUCGGUGUUGGGGGUUUAGCUCAGUUGGUAGAGCGCCUGCUUUGCAAGCAGGAUGUCAGGAGUUCGAGUCUCCUAACCUCCACUGACAGAACUCAAUCUCCAUUGUCCGGUAACUCGGAGGAUGAACUCAAAGGUGUGUGAUUUAGAUGUGUCCACUAGAUAGGACCCUAGCUUCCUGUCAUUCCGAACAAGUGAUUAUUGCUUGAUUGGCUGAUAUGAUGCUGGGCUCAAAUUAAUCAAAAGAUUAAUUUGAUCUCUAGUAGAACCUUGACAACUGCAUAAGUAAGUCUGGAAAAACGAAGCAUCUUACAGAUGCAUUGUUUUAAGUCUGAAUUCUCGAAAGAGAGUUUGGAUCUAGAAUGAUGAAAAUUCUUUUAAGCAAGAGCCGAGACUCUUAGAUGUUCUUUUUAUCGUGUCGAGCGAUAAAGAGUUUGAUUUUGUUUUUAUGAGCAGCGAAAGUUGCUGAUGAAACCAGAAGAAUCUGCUUUCAACCGCAGUAAGCGUUUAAGAGGUUAAUUGGUCAAGCUACAA